CCACGGGCGCAAUACUAACAGAGCCCAUUAUCUGGUGGAUAAACUAGCUGUAUUUGUACAGUAGUUCAACAGGUUCAACAGCACUGAUAUGACAAGCAGAAAUGAGGAAGAUUUCAUCUAACACAGCAAGCCUUCACAAGUCUCAGAUCUGUUCAGUGCUGACAGCAGAGAGCGUGAGAGCCAUGACAGGACUCUUAAAUAAACACAGACAGAAUGAAAUGUACUUGACAAUUAUACUUAUUAUUUCUGGAGCAGCUUGCAUCAGUGAAAGAAACAGUUCACAACUUUGUCACACCUAUGGAUGCUUUGACUCGAGUGAUACUCAGCUCUGUAUGACUCUGGCAUGAUGAUGAAGUGUACUAUGCAGAUUUUAAAAAAGAUCAAAAUUAUUUGGGGAGAGCAAAGUACCAACAACUUUUCGUGUUGAAUGGGCUUAUAAAUACGCACUAGCGUACAGAUAUUUGUGUAAAGUAAUAUAAAUAGAUGGAAACAAGACGAGACGGCCUACAAGGACUCAACAAGCUCCAGAAAACGGUCCUCUAGUCCCAGAGAUGGAAGUGCAUAAAAGAUGAAGACAAUACCCUCAUCUGCUUCAGCAACAACUUACUUUCCUCCUAAAAUAAACAUCAAUGUGGAAAAGAACAAUAAUGAAGUAAGCAGCGGAAGAUCCUUUCAUCAAAACUAUACCUAAUCCUGAUGGGACGUUUUCCUGUCUUCUUCUACCUGAACUUUGUUCCAAAACAAUGGGGACAUCUACAGCUGCACUGUGGAGCAUGAAGCACUGGAGGAGCCUCAGACCACGUUUUG
Melanotaenia boesemani (Boeseman's rainbowfish) is the source of this 807-nucleotide long non-coding RNA. RefSeq lists it as uncharacterized. The record is from RefSeq and is a predicted model, not a curated record. NCBI's taxonomy places the organism in Eukaryota, Metazoa, Chordata, Actinopteri, Atheriniformes, Melanotaeniidae. The transcript is spliced from 4 exons.